CCUAGUGAUAGCUACCCUGAGAAAGAAAAUAUGUUUUUUCUUCAGUGAAGUCUAUCAGCUUGUCUGUUGUUUAAAAAAAUUCCUAAAAGGAAGGCUGAAUGACUAAUUUAACCUUUAGUCAGCUUCUCUGCCACCCCUCCUAGCUAGCUCUGCUGAUACAACCGAACACACAAGUCAGGGUCUUUCUCUGCAUCUUUUGUUUCCAAAGAUGUUUCUUUUACACUUGUUCUAAGCAUUACUGGCAUUACUUCUGAAAUGCUUUCUGACUUUUUUUUUUUUCUUUUUUAAUGGAGGAAGGAUGAGCUGCACUUCUAAUUGUGGCAAAUUUCAAACAGCCAACACCUGUUCUCGGCAAUGUUUUGCCCACCCCUGUAGCUCAAUGUUUUCUGUUUAGCAAUCAUAAAAAUAAAUAAAUGUAUUUACUCACAUAAAACAGAUGGGCUGACAGAUGUGAUACUAAUACAGCUGUUGUUCACAGCAGGGUAUUUUUGUUAGUCAGGGGCAUGCCUUAUAUAGUUGCACCCUAAUAACAAUGAACUGCAAUCUGGUGUGUGUAAGUUCUGGCCCCUGCUACCUGAAAUGAAUGAUAUGGUGGAUUUACUCUGGGAGGUGUCUUUGGUGGUUGCCAUGCUUGAGGCAAGGCUGUCCUGGUUUCUCCUCAAUGGGUCUGCUGGCUGAAGGCUCGCCCAUACCUGCGUAUCAGCUGCAGCAGGCUGAGGAGUGUGCUGGUCCUGGGACCACUGCCAGGCAGGCAGUGAGCCUGCCAUGGAAGCAGAGCAGCCUUGAAGACAUUCAACAGACAUCAUGA
This 808-nucleotide long non-coding RNA is filed under the name Anser brachyrhynchus (Pink-footed goose). Its description in RNAcentral is "lncRNA (ENSABRG00000002296.1)". Lineage: Eukaryota; Metazoa; Chordata; Aves; Anseriformes; Anatidae. The record is from RNAcentral.